Molecule: ribosomal RNA, 454 nt
Filed under: uncultured bacterium
Lineage: Bacteria
Description: bacterial SSU rRNA
Rfam family: Bacterial small subunit ribosomal RNA
Source: RNAcentral
GACGAACGCUGGCGGCAUGCCUAACACAUGCAAGUCGAACGAUGACCUUCGGGUCAUAGUGGCGCACGGGUGAGUAGCGCGUGGGAAUCUGCCCAUUGGUUCGGAAUAACGUUGGGAAACCGACGCUAAUACCGGAUACGCCCUUCGGGGGAAAGAUUUAUUGCCAAUGGAUGAGCCCGCGUCGGAUUAGUUAGUUGGUGGGGUAACGGCCUACCAAGACGUCGAUCCGUAGCUGGUCUGAGAGGACGAUCAGCCACACUGGGACUGAGACACGGCCCAGACUCCUACGGGAGGCAGCAGUGGGGAAUAUUGGACAAUGGGGGCAACCCUGAUCCAGCAAUGCCGCGUGAAUGAUGAAGGCCUUAGGGUUGUAAAGUUCUUUCGCACACGACGAUGAUGACGGUAGUGUGAGAAGAAGCCCCGGCUAACUUCGUGCCAGCAGCCGCGGUAAUAC